CGGUACUCGGACGGAGCUCUGCGACUGCGCAGUCCCUAGGACUGGGUCUAGUAGGAGGCGGUGGAGCGGCCGUGCUGGGGUCGACGGGGUACUUUGGACUACAGAGCCGCUCCACUGGCUCUUCCGGCGUUCCCGGACGCCGCUGACGCACCUGAUUCUCGCGACCUGCAGGAGAAGCCUCGGCCGGGGCGAGGGCCGAGGUCGUGACGGGCAUGACCGUCUCUCUGCUUGGUUAGGGUUAGUGUCCCGCCGGGCACAUCACCCUAUGAAUGGAGCCACUGAGAUAGACUGGGCUGAGGAGAACCGGUUGGAAUAAUGAGCCAUGGCAGCAACUGCCUGAGAGAGAGGACCGGCGGGUUGCUGUAGGGCUCCCUAACCGGACUGCCUGUCAGAAACCUGCACAGCUUGGUUUCUGUUCUUUGUGUCCCAAAUCUGACUCGGGUCACCAGUUAAGACCCGUGUCAGACUUCUGACCUACAGACUUGCGUCGUUUUAAGCCAGUAAAUUUGUGGUAAUUUGUUACAGUAGCAAUAGGAAAAUAAUACAGGUGAGGACUAAGAAUCCUAAUCACAAAUCUUUUUUUUUUUUUGAGACAUGGUCUGACUGUCACCCAGGCUGGCGCGAUCUCAGGCUCAAGUGGUCCUCCCACCUCAGUCUCCUGGAAAGCUAAGACUACAGGCACGCACCACCACGUCCAGUUAGCGUGUAUGUAUGUAUGUACGUACGUGUGUGUGUGUGUGUAUGUGUAUAUAUGUAACUCCUCCUCCCCUCCCCCCUCCCCUUCUCUUCUUUUCUUUCUAGAUGGGGUUUCGCCACGUUGCCCAGGACGGUUUUGAACUCCUGGGGCCAAGCGAUCUGCCUUCCUCGGCCUCCCAAAGUGCUGGGAUUGCAGGUGCGAGCCACUGCUCCUGGCCCAUAAGUCUUUCAGUGUAGAAGAGGGAAGCAGAAGAGGUCAAAGUGGUGCCAUGUGAGAGCUCAACCCACCCUUGCUGGAGGAAGGGAGCCAGAGCCAAGCUGGAAAAGGCAAGGAAACAACCUUUGUGAUUACAUUAGGCCCAUCCAGAUGAUCCAGGAUAAUUUAUUUUACAGUCAUCUGAUUAGCAACUUAAUUCUCUUCUGUCAUGUUAGGUAACAUAUUCAUAUGUUUCAGAGUGGUAGGCCAUUAUUCUACCUACCAUACCACCCAACACAAAUCUACAUUAAGACUAUAUCUGAGUGUUGCACAGGAAUCUAUGUCAACAAGCUUCCAGGAUGAUCCUGUGCAUCCUAUCUGAUGCAGCCCAGCAUCUGAGUACCAGAGACUAGCAUCUGGCUGUUAGGUUAGGAGAGAUCAGCUCAUGCACCAACAGGUAGUCAUGCUGGGACCAAAUGAUGAAGAUAGGUACAACUAGUCCCAGUGAGAGCUGGGGAAUUGGGCUGGGAUAAUAGAGGAUGUUAAGAAUGGAGUGUCCCCUCAACCCCAGAACUUUUUUUUCUUUUUUUGUGGUAAGGAGGGAGAAGGCUGUUUGGUAAGGAUGUUGUAAACUCUGAGAAAGCAAGAAUUUCAAAAGUCAAGGGUAGUAUUGGGGGGAAAAUCACUAGAAUUUGUGUGUGUGUACCCUAACUACUGUUUUGGUUUUGUUUUUGUUUUUUAGAAGGAGUCUCACUCUGUCGCCCAGGCUGGAGUGCAGUGGCAUGAUCUCAGCUCACUGCAAGCUCCACCUCCCGAGUUCACGCCAUUCUCUUGCCUCAGCCUCCCGAGUAGCUGGGACUACAGGCACCUGCCACCACGCCCGGCUAAUUUUUUGUAUUUUUAGUAGAGACAGGGUUUCACCGUUGUUAGCCAGGAUGGUCUCGAUCUCCUGACCUUGUGAUCCGCCCGCCUCGGCCUCCCAAAGUGCUGGGAUUACAGGCGUGAGCCACCGCGCCCAGGCCCUAACUGCUGUUUUUUAAAAAACUUUUUAGGUCACAACCUAUCUGUAAAUAUGACACACCAGUAUGGAAAUCCUUAUUCUUCUCACAGCCACCAGCUAUUGGCCCAUCCACUGACUAUCCCAAUUCCACCUGCCUUAUCAGUGGAAAGGUGAAAUGUAUGCCCACUUUUUCCUCACACCAUUCCCCUUUCUAUCAAAAACUACCAAGAGAAACCCAGGACCUACCAAAAUAGUUAAGAUGUGCUCCACUGUGUCUACUGCCAGCCAAACCUGUUGAAGGCUGGCUCAACCCUAAUCUGUGCCUUCCUGUCUUCUCACAAACGUAGUCUGAUUUGCUGGCUAGAUUUCUAGUAACAGCCACAGAGCAGAAAUGUGUCCCUUCCCAAUAUGUCACAUAAUCCCCAAGAGCCUCAGGCCAGAAGUCCACAACAUGUAACUAGUUCAAAGGAUAAAAUUUUUCUCUGCAUUAAUUCUAACAUGAGGAAUACUGAAAACUCUUUUAAACAUCUGAAGAAUUUCAGCAAUUCACAAUUCACCUUACUGGAGUGUUACACUGUCAUCCAGAUUUAGAAACAGGAGGAUAUAAAACUAUUAAAUGGAAAAGCCUAGAGAAC
This 2527-nucleotide long non-coding RNA is filed under the name Homo sapiens (human). RNAcentral's name for it is "HSALNT0340590". Lineage: Eukaryota; Metazoa; Chordata; Mammalia; Primates; Hominidae. The record is from RNAcentral.